RNAcentral lists this ribosomal RNA (468 nucleotides) under uncultured bacterium. RNAcentral's name for it is "partial 16S ribosomal RNA". It matches the Rfam family "Bacterial small subunit ribosomal RNA", at positions 28 to 507 of the family's 1533-position model. The record is from RNAcentral.
GACGAACGCUGGCGGCGUGCUUAACACAUGCAAGUCGAACGGAAAGGCCCUGCUUUUGUGGGGUGCUCGAGUGGCGAACGGGUGAUUAACACGUUAGUAACCUGCCCUUGACUUUGGGAUAACUUCAGGAAACUGGGGCUAAUACCUGAUAGGAGCUCCUGCUGCAUGGUGGGGGUUGUAAAGUUUCGGCGGUUGGGGAUGGACUCGCGGCUUGUCAGCUUGUUGGUGGGGUAGUGGCUUACCAAGGCUUUGACGGGUAGCCGGCCUGAGAGGGUGACCGGCCACAUUGGGACUGAGAUACGGCCCAGACUCCUAAGGGAGGAAGCAGUGGGGAAUAUUGAACAAUGGGCGGAAGCCUGAUGCAGCAACGCCGCGUGCGGGAUGACGGCCUUAGGGUUGUAAACCGCUGUCGCCUGUGACGAAGAGUGAGUGACGGUAAUGGGUAAAGAAGCACCGGCUAACUACGUG